GCCGCGGUGCGGGCCGAGUGGGCUGCGGGGAUGCGGGGCACGAGCUGUGUGGGCGGCGGCGGCGAAAGCCCUGGCGGCGCCGGGCUGAGCGAGGGCCCGCGGGGCCGCUGGCUGCGCCUGGCCCCGGUCUGCGCCUACUUCCUCUGCGUCUCGCUGGCCGCCGUGCUGCUCGCCGUGUACUACGGUCUCAUCUGGGUCCCCACGCGGCCCCCCGCGGGCCCCGCCGGCCCGCUGCCCAGCGCGCCGUCUCCUCCGUGUGCUGCCCGCCCGGGCGCGCCACCCGCCCCGGCGCCCGCCGCUGCCUCCAUCUCCUGCCUCCUGGGAGCCCCCGGCGGGCCGCGACCCCAGCUCCAGCUGCCGCCGAGCCGCCGCCGCCGCAGCGCCCCUAGCCGUGGCCCAAGCCGCCAGACGCCCAGAGAGACGCCAGAGGCCGCGGGGGGCUGAGGACCCGGGUAACCCUCCCUUCCACCCCAACCCGGACCAUCAGCCCUCGAGAGCCCGGUGCUCCAUGCCGUGGAUGCGCCGGCCCCGGGUGGGCCCGGGCUCCCUCUUAAUGACAUCGCCCAGCGUGUCCGGAGGCGUCAUCCUGAAGAAUGGGGGGAUUCUGAGCACAGAGCCCACAGCUCACCCUUCUCAUCUCCCUGAAUCUCUGUGUCUGUCUGUCCAUCUGCAAUAAACUCC
Propithecus coquereli (Coquerel's sifaka) is the source of this 681-nucleotide RNA transcript. It is a transcript of the gene named InaF-motif containing 1, with no coding region annotated. The transcript is spliced from 2 exons. The record is from RefSeq and is a predicted model, not a curated record. Lineage: Eukaryota; Metazoa; Chordata; Mammalia; Primates; Indriidae.